Molecule: small nuclear RNA, 107 nt
Organism: Physeter macrocephalus (sperm whale)
Lineage: Eukaryota; Metazoa; Chordata; Mammalia; Artiodactyla; Physeteridae
Source: Ensembl
GUGCUCGCUUUGGCAACACAUAUACUAAAAUUGGAAUGAUACAGAGAAGAUUAGUAUAGCCCCUGAACAAGGAAGAAACGCAAAUUCAUGAAGCAUUCCAUAUUUUU